Molecule: ribosomal RNA, 538 nt
Filed under: Triticum aestivum (bread wheat)
Lineage: Eukaryota; Viridiplantae; Streptophyta; Magnoliopsida; Poales; Poaceae
Description: rRNA SSU_rRNA_eukarya
Rfam family: Bacterial small subunit ribosomal RNA
Source: RNAcentral
AUACUAUCAGGUACUAAGUUCAUGAUAAGUUUAAGUUCAAUUAAUCAAAUUACUUAAGAACUCCCACUUAGAUAGACAUCCCUCUAAUCCUCUAAGUGAUCACGUGAUCCAAAUCAACUAAACCAUAACCGAUCAUCACGUGAGAUGGAGUAGUUUUCAAUGGUGAACAUCGUUAUGUUGAUCAUAUCUACUAUAUGAUUCACGCUCNNNNNNNNNNAAGGAGAAAUCCGCCCAAGGAGGGGCUCGCGUCUGAUUAGCUAGUUGGUGAGGUAAUAGCUUACCAAGGCGAUGAUCAGUAGCUGGUCCGAGAGGAUGAUCAGCCACACUGGGACUGAGACACGGCCCAGACUCCUACGGGAGGCAGCAGUGGGGAAUUUUCCGCAAUGGGCGAAAGCCUGACGGAGCAAUGCCGCGUGGAGGUGGAAGGCCUACGGGUCGUCAACUUCUUUUCUCGGAGAAGAAACAAUGACGGUAUCUGAGGAAUAAGCAUCGGCUAACUCUGUGCCAGCAGCCGCGGUAAGACAGAGGAUGCAAGCGU